AACGAACGCUGGCGGCAUGCCUAACACAUGCAAGUCGAACGAGAUCUUCGGGUCUAGUGGCGCACGGGUGCGUAACGCGUGGGAAUCUGCCCUUUGGUUCGGAAUAACAGUUGGAAACGACUGCUAUACCGGAUGAUUAAGAAAGUCCAAAGAUUUAUCGCCAGAGGAUGAGCCCGCGUAGGAUUAGCUAGUUGGUGUGGUAAAGGCGCACCAAGGCGACGAUCCUUAGCUGAUCUGAGAGGAUGAUCAGCCACACUGGGACUGAGACACGGCCCAGACUCCUACGGGAGGCAGCAGUGGGGAAUAUUGGACAAUGGGCGAAAGCCUGAUCCAGCAAUGCCGCGUGAGUGAUGAGGGCCUUAGGGUUGUAAAGCUCUUUUACCCGGGAUGAUAAUGACAGUACCGGGAGAAUAAGCUCCGGCUAACUCCGUGCCAGCCGCCGCCGUAA
This 448-nucleotide ribosomal RNA is filed under the name uncultured bacterium. RNAcentral describes it as "partial 16S ribosomal RNA". It matches the Rfam family "Bacterial small subunit ribosomal RNA", at positions 29 to 523 of the family's 1533-position model. The record is from RNAcentral.